GUGGGGAAUUUUGGACAAUGGGCGCAAGCCUGAUCCAGCAAUGCCGCGUGCAGGAUGAAGGCCUUCGGGUUGUAAACUGCUUUUGUACGGAACGAAACGGUCCGGGUUAAUACCCUGGGCUAAUGACGGUACCGUAAGAAUAAGCACCGGCUAACUACGUGCCAGCAGCCGCGGUAAUACGUAGGGUGCAAGCGUUAAUCGGAAUUACUGUGCGUAAAGCGUGCGCAGGCGGUUUUGUAAGACAGGCGUGAAAUCCCCGGGCUCAACCUGGGAAUUGCGCUUGUGACUGCGAGGCUGGAGUGCGGCAGAGGGGGAUGGAAUUCCGCGUGUAGCAGUGAAAUGCGUAGAUAUGCGGAGGAACACCGAUGGCGAAGGCAAUCCCCUGGGCCUGCACUGACGCUCAUGCACGAAAGCGUGGGGAGCAAACAGGAUUAGAUACCCUAGUAGUCC
Molecule: ribosomal RNA, 450 nt
Filed under: uncultured bacterium
Lineage: Bacteria
Description: bacterial SSU rRNA
Rfam family: Bacterial small subunit ribosomal RNA
Source: RNAcentral